Molecule: ribosomal RNA, 253 nt
Filed under: uncultured bacterium
Lineage: Bacteria
Also listed under: 1 other name
Description: partial 16S ribosomal RNA
Rfam family: Bacterial small subunit ribosomal RNA
Source: RNAcentral
UACGGGGGGUGCAAGCGUUGUUCGGAUUUAUUGGGCGUAAAGCGCGUGUAGGCGGUUUGGUAAGUCUGAUGUGAAAGCCCCGGGCUCAACCUGGGAAGUGCAUUGGAUACUGUCAGACUUGAAUACGGGAGAGGGUAGUGGAAUUCCUAGUGUAGGAGUGAAAUCCGUAGAUAUUAGGAGGAACACCGGUGGCGAAGGCGGCUACCUGGACCGAUAUUGACGCUGAGACGCGAAAGCGUGGGGAGCAAACAGG